RNA transcript from Mandrillus leucophaeus (drill), 702 nucleotides. It is a transcript of the gene named tubulin alpha-1C chain pseudogene, with no coding region annotated. The record is from RefSeq and is a predicted model, not a curated record. The transcript has a single exon. Lineage: Eukaryota; Metazoa; Chordata; Mammalia; Primates; Cercopithecidae.
CACUCUUGCCUUAGAAGAAGGAAAGAAAAUAACAGGCAGGUUCUCUUACAUCGACCACCUAAAAGUCGCACUGUAAGAAGCAACAACCUCUCCUCCUUGUCUCCACCAUCUGCUCAGCAGCCGCGAAGCAGCAAUCAUGCGUGAGUGCAUCUCCAUCACAUUGGCCAGGCUGAUGUCCAGGUUGGCAAUGCCUGCUGGGAGGCCUACUGCCUGGAACAUGGCAUCCAGCCCAACGGCCAGAUGCCAAGUGACAAGACCACUCGGGGAGGAGAUGACUCCUUCAACAGCUUCUUCAGUGAGACGGGCUCCGGCAAGCCCGUGCCCAGGGCAGUGUUUCUAGAUCUGGAACCCAUGGUAAUUGAUGAUGAAGUUUGCACUGGCACCUGCCACCAGCUCUCCCACCCUGAGCAGCUCAUCACAGGCAAGGAAGAUGCUGCCAGUAACUAUGCCAUUGGCCAGGAGAUCACUGACCUCGUUUUGGACCAAAUUUGUAAACUGGCUGACCAGUGCAUGGUUCUCCAGGGCUUCUUGGUUUUCCACAGCUCUGGUGAAGGAAUUGUUUCUGGGUUCACCUCCCUGCUCAUGGAACAACUCCCAGUUGAUGAUGGCAAGAAGUCCAAGCUGGAGUUCUCCAUUAACUCAGCACCCCAGGUUUCCACAGCUGUAGUUGAGUCCUACAACUCCAUCCUCACCACCCAGUGA